CCAGACUCCUACGGGAGGCAGCAGUGAGGAAUAUUGGUCAAUGGGCGAGAGCCUGAACCAGCCAAGUCGCGUGAGGGAAGACGGUCCUAUGGAUUGUAAACCUCUUUUGUCGGGGAGCAAAAAGGCCUCGUGAGGCCACAAGUGAGAGUACCCGAAGAAAAAGCAUCGGCUAACUCCGUGCCAGCAGCCGCGGUAAUACGGAGGAUGCGAGCGUUAUCCGGAUUUAUUGGGUUUAAAGGGUGCGUAGGCGGACUGGAAAGUCAGCGGUAAAAUCGAGAGGCUCAACCUCUUUCCGCCGUUGAAACUGUCGGUCUUGAGUGGGCGAGAAGUAUGCGGAAUGCGUGGUGUAGCGGUGAAAUGCAUAGAUAUCACGCAGAACUCCGAUUGCGAAGGCAGCAUACCGGCGCCCGACUGACGCUGAGGCACGAAAGCGUGGGUAUCGAACAGGAUUAGAUACCCCAGUA
Molecule: ribosomal RNA, 464 nt
Filed under: uncultured bacterium
Lineage: Bacteria
Description: bacterial SSU rRNA
Rfam family: Bacterial small subunit ribosomal RNA
Source: RNAcentral